GUAGAAUAAGCUAAAAAAGCUAGUGGGUUCAUACCCCAAAAAUGAGAUAAUAACUCUUCUACUA
Molecule: transfer RNA, 64 nt
Filed under: Orobdella kawakatsuorum
Lineage: Eukaryota; Metazoa; Annelida; Clitellata; Hirudinida; Orobdellidae
Also listed under: 1 other name
Description: tRNA-Met
Source: RNAcentral